UCGAGGAUCUUCGGCAAUGGGCGCAAGCCUGACCGAGCGACGCCGCGUGUGCGACGAAGGCCUUCGGGUUGUAAAGCACUGUCGAGGGGGAGAAAUGCCCGAAAGGGCUUGAUCUAUCCCUGGAGGAAGCACGGGCUAAGUUCGUGCCAGCAGCCGCGGUAAGACGAACCGUGCGAACGUUGUUCGGAAUCACUGGGCUUAAAGGGCGCGUAGGCGGGCUGCCAAGUCUGGGGUGAAAUCCCACGGCUCAACCGUGGAACUGCCUCGGAUACUGGCGGCCUCGAGGGAGGUAGGGGCAUGCGGAACUAUGCGUGGAGCGGUGAAAUGCGUUGAUAUGCAUAGGAACUCCGGUGGCGAAGGCGGCGUGCUGGACCUCUUCUGACGCUGAGGCGCGAAAGCCAGGGGAGCGAACGGGAUUAGAUACCCCGGUAGUCCUGGCCCUAAACGUUGAGAACUAGGUAGUGGACUAGACAUGGGUUCACUGCCGAAGCAAAAGUG
This 498-nucleotide ribosomal RNA is filed under the name uncultured Planctomycetota bacterium. RNAcentral's name for it is "bacterial SSU rRNA". It matches the Rfam family "Bacterial small subunit ribosomal RNA", at positions 355 to 859 of the family's 1533-position model. Lineage: Bacteria; Pseudomonadati; Planctomycetota. The record is from RNAcentral.